GUGGGGUAUUCACCUACCUGCUGCAUGAAGGCAGCAUGGAGGGACUGUGGUGGAUUAUCUGCAAAGAUGGCCCAAAUUCUCUCAUCCCUGCAGGUACAUACAAGAUGCCAGAAUCAGUCAAAACUAAGCUCACUGUCCUUGCUAAUAUUCUGCCCCAGAGGAGAACUGAAGCUCAGCUAUUCACCCUACAGAAAGCCUGAAUUUUGUAAAUGUUCUGCUUAGAAUGAGGAAGAAAGAUGAAGAAUGAGGAGGAAGAAGGGAGGAACAAGAGAGAGAGCCAGGUUUCCAGAAGUUCCCUAGUCAUUGGGCAUUUCUGAGACUCUUGAUGCAUAUGCCAAGUAGUUAUGGAGAAAGACAUAGCCGCUUACCUCUGCAGGCAUCAUUGUGUGAAAGGAAGACCGAGGCUGUCUCACCACCCUUGAAGAGAAGCCUUUUGCUAAGGUGAUAGCUGCAUGUCCAAGCCUAUUGCGUGGCAUGGAUUUUGCCUUCUACAGCCCACUAAAGGAGUUUGCAGUUCACCCGCAAACCUCAGCGAUCCAAGCUCCCCUGGAUGACCAUCACUCACCUAGAAAAGAACAAUAACAGGACCUGUUUUGCUAAUCCAGGACUGUUCUCCAGCACUAACUCUAAAUAAUCCCUUCUGUUAGAGUCCACUUUCUGGAACCUGUUGCCUCCGUUUUCAACGUUUCCCAAACUUGGUCCGUUGUGUGAGUUGGCUGUUAAAAGUUCCAGGGAGAGGACAUCUUAUUCUUAUUGGAUCACGCACAGUGCCUGAAGCAUUCUGUUGCAUGUAGAAAUCAGUAAAUUGCAGAUGUAA
RNAcentral lists this long non-coding RNA (817 nucleotides) under Pongo abelii (Sumatran orangutan). RNAcentral describes it as "lincRNA". The record is from RNAcentral. Lineage: Eukaryota; Metazoa; Chordata; Mammalia; Primates; Hominidae.